GCAUUUUCUCUGCGUCUUCGUUUCUCAAAUCCUUUAAAAUAUAAAUGUCCGUUUUUAGGUUUUUCCGUGUCCGCAUUUUCAUAUUCGGGCUACAUAGGCUAAAAGACACCCACAAUUAGUAUAUGUCACAAAAUCAAUUGUAAAUAACUAAAGCUUGACAAUCUGGCCUUGUUUCCAUAUUAGGCUACCUCAUUUUGGAAAUAAACCAGAA
RNAcentral lists this unclassified non-coding RNA (211 nucleotides) under Hevea brasiliensis (rubber tree). Lineage: Eukaryota; Viridiplantae; Streptophyta; Magnoliopsida; Malpighiales; Euphorbiaceae. The record is from RNAcentral.